Grus americana (Whooping crane) is the source of this 1560-nucleotide long non-coding RNA. RefSeq lists it as uncharacterized. The transcript has 5 exons. NCBI's taxonomy places the organism in Eukaryota, Metazoa, Chordata, Aves, Gruiformes, Gruidae. The record is from RefSeq and is a predicted model, not a curated record.
CCCUGAACCGCCUGCCGGCAGCCGGUGUGCAGAGGCUGUUGUGAGCCGAGGGAGGAGCGGAGACGUCGCUGGGCUGCGGCUGCACGGAGGGAGAAGGCCGCGCUGAGGAUGUGGUUGCCCAUCCCUCCCUUGGGGAUGCCGUCGACUGCACCCGCCUCGCCUGUGCCUGGCCUGGCUUGCCUCAUGGCGUGGGGGUGAAAAGGGACAGGCGGCGGAGCGCUUACUGGCCGUGGACAGGAACUGCCCUAAGGGAAGCUGGAAUGGCCAGAGAAAGGUGAAGAAGAAGAAGAAGAAGAGAUGGAAGGCUCUCCGGCUGGCAGCUGCCUCCCGCUGCAGGCAAGAGAGCGCCUGCCUCGCCGGGCGGAGGACAGCCGAGCGACCGGAGUGACAGCAAAGGAAAGGCGGAGAGCGGGAGAAAGUAGCGUCUGCGCUGGCAAGCUCUCCCGGCAGCGCCGAGAGCCAGAGCUGCGGUGCCGCUGCGCCGAUGCUCCGUACGUUCGCAGUAACGGGUAGAGCGGAAGGCUCCGUGGCCAGGGAAGAGCGGCACGGACACGUUCCUGCUCGCUCCGUUGCACCGGAAUUUCGACGGCUGGGUUCGGCCGCUAAAUUGAUGGCGCUACUGGAAGAAAUUUCAGAAAAAUAUGAGAAAAGCUCUGUCCAGAGAUAUGGAGACGAAAUCAGUUGUACCUCAUCCCGUGACACCGGAAGACAUUGAGUAACUGUAAGCUGUGAUGCUCAGUGAAAUUACUAAGAGCGUGAAGUUUCCCGUGCCUUUGCUUUCACUCUCCCAUUCUCUUGUCUUGCGGCACGUCGCAUUUUUUGAGGCUGUGGAAGCGACAUCGGGAGCGAUGGGGUGUCAGAACCAGGUCCUCCUGCCUGUCGCUGGUUUUGCUUACCUUCGCAGUCUGCAUCUCUCUCUGUGUUCCUCAAUCCCUGUCCUCUCUUAUCUGUUCUAGUUUGUUUCACUGCAUAUGUCCCGUUCCCUGUCCCACCUUUAUCCUUCCUUCCUUCUUCCUCCCCUUUUUCUUUGUCCUUUUGUCCUGCUCCCCGACCCUGUUUCUCACUCCAUCUGACCGUCCUUUUCCUGGCACCUUUGUGUCUCUGCUCCUUGCCCUGUCUUUCUCUCCCCUCUGCCCAGUCCUCGUCUCCCUCUUUUGUCUCUCUGUCCCUCUGUCCUCCUUCUGCCUCUGCCCCUCUGUCCUGCUCCCUGCCCCUCUUGUUCUCACUCUGCCCCAGCGUCCCGCUCCCCGGUCCUCUUUCCCUCUGUUGAUCUCUCCUUCUCCCUGCUCCCCAGCCCGGUUCUCUCACGCUCCCGCUUCCUUUUUUUAUUCUCUGUUGCUCUGUCCUGCUCCCCAUGCCACUGUCCCUCGCCGUACCUCUCGGUCCGGCUCCCUGCCCUUAUUCUCUUUUCCUCCCUCGCCGUGGCGCUGCCCGCCCAGGGUCAUUUCUGCCUCUCUGUCACGCUCCCCGUCCUUGUUUGUCGGUCACCGUCCCGCUGCCUCUCUUCCUGCCGCUUCUUCCUCCCUCUCUGUCAGGCUCCCUGUCCCCGUCCUUCACUCG